ACAGAGGGGGCAAGCGUUGCUCGGAAUCACUGGGCGUAAAGGGCGCGUAGGCGGGAUGGCAAGUCAGUCGUGAAAUCUCUCGGCUCAACCGAGAAACGUCGGCUGAUACUGCCGUUCUUGAGGGAUGCAGAGGAGACUGGAAUUCCCGGUGUAGCGGUGAAAUGUGUAGAGAUCGGGAGGAACACCGGUGGCGAAGGCGGGUCUCUGGGCAUUUCCUGACGCUGAGGCGCGAAAGCGUGGGGAGCAAACGGGA
Molecule: ribosomal RNA, 253 nt
Filed under: uncultured prokaryote
Description: partial 16S ribosomal RNA
Rfam family: Bacterial small subunit ribosomal RNA
Source: RNAcentral